Molecule: ribosomal RNA, 826 nt
Filed under: Coniella quercicola
Lineage: Eukaryota; Fungi; Ascomycota; Sordariomycetes; Diaporthales; Schizoparmaceae
Description: partial large subunit ribosomal RNA
Rfam family: Eukaryotic large subunit ribosomal RNA
Source: RNAcentral
GCCCUAGUAACGGCGAGUGAAGCGGCAACAGCUCAAAUUUGAAAUCUGGCUUCGGCCCGAGUUGUAAUUUGCAGAGGAUGUUUCUGGCGCGGUGCCUUCCGAGUUCCCUGGAACGGGACGCCAUAGAGGGUGAGAGCCCCGUAUGGUUGGAUACUAAGCCUGUGUGAAACUCCUUCGACGAGUCGAGUAGUUUGGGAAUGCUGCUCAAAAUGGGAGGUAAAUCUCUUCUAAAGCUAAAUAUUGGCCAGAGACCGAUAGCGCACAAGUAGAGUGAUCGAAAGAUGAAAAGCACCUUGAAAAGGGGGUUAAACAGUACGUGAAAUUGUUGAAAGGGAAGCGCUCAUGACCAGACUUGUGCUGGGCAGCUCAUCCGGGGUUCUCCCCGGUGCACUCUGCCCAGUUCAGGCCAGCAUCGAUUUUUGCUGGGGGAUAAGAACGGUAGGAACGUGGCCCUCCUUCGGGAGGGUGUUAUAGCCUGCCGUACGAUACCCUGGCGGAGAUCGAGGUUCGCGCAUCUGCAAGGAUGCUGGCGUAAUGGUCAUCAGCGACCCGUCUUGAAACACGGACCAAGGAGUCGUCCAUUAGAGCGAGCGUUUGGGUGUAAAACCCGCACGCGUAAUGAAAGUGAAAUUAGGUGAGAGCUUCGGCGCAUCAUCGACCGAUCCUGAUGUUCUCGGAAGGAUUUGAGUAAGAGUUUUAACGGACGGACCCGAAAGACAGUGAACUAUGCUUGUAUAGGGUGAAGCCAGAGGAAACUCUGGUGGAGGCUCGCAGCGGUUCUGACGUGCAAAUCGAUCGUCAAAUAUGAGCAUGGGGGCGAAAGACC